Molecule: ribosomal RNA, 497 nt
Filed under: uncultured bacterium
Lineage: Bacteria
Description: partial 16S ribosomal RNA
Rfam family: Bacterial small subunit ribosomal RNA
Source: RNAcentral
GAUGAACGCUGGCGGCGUGCCUAAUACAUGCAAGUCGAGCGAACAGAUGAGGAGCUUGCUCCUCUGACGUUAGCGGCGGACGGGUGAGUAACACGUGGAUAACCUACCUAUAAGACUGGGAUAACUUCGGGAAACCGGAGCUAAUACCGGAUAAUAUAUUGAACCGCAUGGUUCAAUAGUGAAAGACGGUUUUGCUGUCACUUAUAGAUGGAUCCGCGCCGCAUUAGCUAGUUGGUAAGGUAACAGCUUACCAAGGCAACGAUGCGUAGCCGACCUGAGAGGGUGAUCGGCCACACUGGAACUGAGACACGGUCCAGACUCCUACGGGAGGCAGCAGUAGGGAAUCUUCCGCAAUGGGCGAAAGCCUGACGGAGCAAUGCCGCGUGAGUGAUGAAGGUCUUCGGAUCGUAAAACUCUGUUAUUAGGGAAGAACAAAUGUGUAAGUAACUAUGCACGUCUUGACGGUACCUAAUCAGAAAGCCACGGCUAACUACGUG